This 356-nucleotide ribosomal RNA is filed under the name uncultured Glomeraceae. RNAcentral describes it as "SSU rRNA". It matches the Rfam family "Eukaryotic small subunit ribosomal RNA", at positions 569 to 929 of the family's 1831-position model. The record is from RNAcentral. Lineage: Eukaryota; Fungi; Glomeromycota; Glomeromycetes; Glomerales; Glomeraceae.
AGCAGCCGCGGUAAUUCCAGCUCCAAUAGCGUAUAUUAAAGUUGUUGCAGUUAAAAAGCUCGUAGUUGAAUUUCGGGAUCAGUGCGCUGGUCGUGCCUUCGGUAUGUACUGGUGUUACUGGUUCCUACCUUCUGACGAACCGUCAUGUCAUUAAUUUGGUGUGGCGGGGAAUCAGGACUGUUACUUUGAAAAAAUUAGAGUGUUUAAAGCAGGCUCGCGCUUGAAUACAUUAGCAUGGAAUAAUGAAAUAGGACGUUCGAUCCUAUUUUGUUGGUUUCUAGGAUUGACGUAAUGAUUAAUAGGGAUAGUUGGGGGCAUUAGUAUUCAAUUGUCAGAGGUGAAAUUCUUGGAUUUAG